RNAcentral lists this ribosomal RNA (457 nucleotides) under uncultured bacterium. Its description in RNAcentral is "partial 16S ribosomal RNA". It matches the Rfam family "Bacterial small subunit ribosomal RNA", at positions 28 to 523 of the family's 1533-position model. The record is from RNAcentral.
GAUGAACGCUGGCGACGUGCCUAAUACAUGCAAGUCGUACGGAAAGGCCCUUCGGGGUACUCGAGUGGCGGACGGCUGAGUAACGCGUGGGAACGUGCCCCAAAGUGAGGGAUAACGCACCGAAAGGUGUGCUAAUACCGCAUAUGGUCUUCGGAUUAAAGCUUCGGCGCUUUGGGAGCGGCCCGCGUACGAUUAGAUAGUUGGUGAGGUAAUGGCUCACCAAGUCGACGAUCGUUAGCUGGUCUGAGAGGAUGAUCAGCCAGACUGGGACUGAGACACGGCCCAGACUCCUACGGGAGGCAGCAGUAAGGGAUCUUCCACAAUGGGGGCAACCCUGAUGGAGCAACGCCGCGUGCAGGAUGAAGGUUUUCGGAUCGUAAACUGCUUUUAUAAGUGAAGAAUAUGACGGUAACUUAUGAAUAAGGACCGGCUAACUACGUGCCAGCAGCCGCAGUAA